Molecule: ribosomal RNA, 304 nt
Filed under: Clostridioides difficile
Lineage: Bacteria; Bacillati; Bacillota; Clostridia; Peptostreptococcales; Peptostreptococcaceae
Description: bacterial SSU rRNA
Rfam family: Bacterial small subunit ribosomal RNA
Source: RNAcentral
UGGGUAACCUACCCUGUACACACGGAUAACAUACCGAAAGGUAUGCUAAUACGGGAUAAUAUAUUUGAGAGGCAUCUCUUAAAUAUCAAAGGUGAGCCAGUACAGGAUGGACCCGCGUCUGAUUAGCUAGUUGGUAAGGUAACGGCUUACCAAGGCGACGAUCAGUAGCCGACCUGCGAGGGUGAUCGGCCACAUUGGAACUGCGACACGGUCCACACUACUACGGGAGGCAGCAGUGGGGAGUAUUGCACAAUGGGCGAAAGCCUGAUGCAGCAACGCCGCGGGAGUGAUGAAGGCCUUCGGG